ACGCUGGCGGCAGGCCUAACACAUGCAAGUCGAGCGGUAGAGAGAAGCUUGCUUCUCUUGAGAGCGGCGGACGGGUGAGUAAUGCCUAGGAAUCUGCCUGGUAGUGGGGGAUAACGUCCGGAAACGGACGCUAAUACCGCAUACGUCCUACGGGAGAAAGCAGGGGACCUUCGGGCCUUGCGCUAUCAGAUGAGCCUAGGUCGGAUUAGCUAGUUGGUGGGGUAAUGGCUCACCAAGGCGACGAUCCGUAACUGGUCUGAGAGGAUGAUCAGUCACACUGGAACUGAGACACGGUCCAGACUCCUACGGGAGGCAGCAGUGGGGAAUAUUGGACAAUGGGCGAAAGCCUGAUCCAGCCAUGCCGCGUGUGUGAAGAAGGUCUUCGGAUUGUAAAGCACUUUAAGUUGGGAGGAAGGGCAGUUACUUAAUACUUUGCUGUUUUGACGUUACCGACAGAAUAAGCACCGGCUAACUCUGUGCCAGCAGCCGCGGUAAUACAGAGGGUGCAAGCGUUAAUCGGAAUUACUGGGCGUAAAGCGCGCGUAGGUGGUUCGUUAAGUUGGAUGUGAAAUCCCCGGGCUCAACCUGGGAACUGCAUUCAAACUGACGAGCUAGAGUAUGGUAGAAGGGUGGUGGAAUUUCCUGUGUAGCGGUGAAAUGC
RNAcentral lists this ribosomal RNA (661 nucleotides) under uncultured bacterium. RNAcentral's name for it is "bacterial SSU rRNA". It matches the Rfam family "Bacterial small subunit ribosomal RNA", at positions 33 to 689 of the family's 1533-position model. The record is from RNAcentral.